Molecule: ribosomal RNA, 404 nt
Filed under: uncultured bacterium
Lineage: Bacteria
Description: bacterial SSU rRNA
Rfam family: Bacterial small subunit ribosomal RNA
Source: RNAcentral
UGGGGAAUAUUGGGCAAUGGGCGCAAGCCUGACCCAGCAACGCCGCGUGAAGGAAGAAGGCUUUCGGGUUGUAAACUUCUUUUGUCAGGGAACAGUAGAAGAGGGUACCUGACGAAUAAGCUCCGGCUAACUACGUGCCAGCAGCCGCGGUAAUACGUAGGGAGCGAGCGUUGUCCGGAUUUACUGGGUGUAAAGGGCGUGCAGCCGGGCUGGCAAGUCAGAUGUGAAAUCCAGAGGCUUAACCUCUGAACUGCAUUUGAAACUGCUGGUCUUGAGUACCGGAGAGGUUAUCGGAAUUCCUUGUGUAGCGGUGAAAUGCGUAGAUAUAAGGAAGAACACCAGUGGCGAAGGCGGAUAACUGGACGGCAACUGACGGUGAGGCGCGAAAGCGUGGGGAGCAAACA